UGUGGAAAGUGUAAAGCAUUUCAAAAUAGAUUUUUUUUUUUUUUUUUUUGCACCCAUGCUGUUGAUUGCUAAAUGUAGUAGUCUGAUCACGACACUGAAUAAAUGUGUCUUUUUUAAAAAUGUGCUGUGUAACGUUAGUCUACUCUGAAGCCAUUUUGGUAAACUACCCCAACAGUGUGAAG
Aethalodelphis obliquidens (Pacific white-sided dolphin) is the source of this 182-nucleotide long non-coding RNA. RefSeq lists it as uncharacterized. The record is from RefSeq and is a predicted model, not a curated record. Lineage: Eukaryota; Metazoa; Chordata; Mammalia; Artiodactyla; Delphinidae. The transcript is spliced from 2 exons.